This 468-nucleotide ribosomal RNA is filed under the name uncultured bacterium. Its description in RNAcentral is "partial 16S ribosomal RNA". It matches the Rfam family "Bacterial small subunit ribosomal RNA", at positions 28 to 507 of the family's 1533-position model. The record is from RNAcentral.
GACGAACGCUGGCGGCAGGCUUAACACAUGCAAGUCGAACGGAAAGGCCCUGCUUUUGGGGGGUGCUCGAGGGGCGAACGGGUGAGUAACCCGUGAGUAACCUGCCCUUGACUUUGGGAUAACUUCAUGAAACUGGGGCUAAUACCGGAUAGGAGCUCCUGCUGCAUGGUGGGGGUUGGAAAGUUUCGGCGGUUGGGGAUGGACUCGCGGCGUAUCAGCUUGUUGGUUGGGUAGUGGCUUACCAAGGCUUUGACGGGUAGCCGGCCUGAGAGGGUGACCGGCCACAUUGGGACUGAGAUGCGGCCCAGCCUAGUCCGGGAGGGAGGAGUGGGGAAUAGUGCACAAUGGGAGGAAGCCUGAUGUAGCAACGCCGCGUGCGGGAUGACGGCCUUCGGGUUGUAAUCCGCUGCCGCCUGUGCCGAAGCGUGAGUGACGGUAAUGGGUAAAGAAGCACCGGCUAACUACGUG